This is a non-coding RNA of Danio rerio (zebrafish), 74 nucleotides long. NCBI's taxonomy places the organism in Eukaryota, Metazoa, Chordata, Actinopteri, Cypriniformes, Danionidae. The record is from Rfam.
GGCGCUGUGGCUUAGUUGGUCAAAGUGCCUGUCUAGUAAACAGGAGAUCCUGUGUUCAAAUCACAGCAGUGCCU